Molecule: long non-coding RNA, 1816 nt
Organism: Gossypium arboreum
Lineage: Eukaryota; Viridiplantae; Streptophyta; Magnoliopsida; Malvales; Malvaceae
Exons: 2
Source: RefSeq, a predicted model, not a curated record
UCAAUAAUAUAAAUAAUAGACAUAAAUUCAAAAAAAAAUUACUGUAUGUUUGGUUCAAUGUAAUGGUAUAGCCAUUACAACCCUAUUCCGUGGGCCCACCUUAAACACCUGUUUGGUUCAAUGGAAUGCCCUAUUAUGGGCUUAUUCCAUUACAGGCCUAUGCAAGGAAAUUGUUUGAUUUCUAUUCUGUUUCCUCACCACCGAUUACUGAUUCGGUGUUUAAGGAGACCAUCACCACAAAAAUGAUCCCCACUUUGCCCUCUCCCAUUUUCUCACCUGAAACACCAAUUACGCUCCCAUAAACACCACUUCGCAACCCAAAAUUUACACUUCUUCUGCUACUGCUGCCGCCAUUUCUGCUUUUAUUUUCAACCUUACCUCUCUUUGCUUACUUUCAAGAUAUGGAUAUGCUUCCUUCUUUUAUUCUUUAUCCACUUAUUAAUGGUGGAAGCCAUCUUUCUAAUUUCCACUCUUUUUCUUCUUCUUCUAACACCAUUGCUACCCAUAUCGAAGCCUUAAGUAACAAACCCAUGUCCAUGCCUGUUAGAGGAAAGGGAAAAAGAGACCACCGCUUCGAUAAUGUUGACGAUACCUUGAUUUUGUUCAGUAAGAUGACUGAAAAGUACCCAAAGCCUUCAAUUGUGGAAUUCAAUUAUUAGGAGCCAUUGUUAAGAUAAAACAUUAUGCCAUUGUUGUUUCUAAGUAUAGACGGAUCGAAUUAUUGGGAGUUUCCCAUAAUGUUUAUUCUAGGAGCAUCUUGAUUAAUUGCUUUUGAAUUAGGUCAAAUUUUGGGUUGUCUGUUUUAGGGAAAAUGCUGAAGUUAGUGCUGUAACAUUUUCAACUUUGAUAAAUGGGCUCUGUAAUCAAAGUAAUAUUUUUGAGGCCGUUUGUAUGUUCGAUGAAAUGACUGAGAGAGGGUAUCAACCUGAUUUGGUUGUUUAUAAUACAAUACUUAAGGGGUUGUGUAAGACCGGCAAUAUUGAUAGAGCUCUUAGGUUUCUAAGACUGAUGGAAGGCUGAGGUUAUGAACCCAAUAUUGUUCUUAACUUGUUGUCUUAGGCUAUGGUUUUACUUGCCUUUUCAACUAAGGAAACACUUUCAAAUGAUGUAACUUUUCAUCUUAAUAGCCAAAAUCCUGCCCUUUGGAUGCAAUUUUUAUGCAAUAACUGAUCUAGGUGCUGAAUUGGGAAAUGGUGUGGAGAAUAAUUACAUGCAUCCCUUGGGGAUAAAUUGAUCGAAGAAUGCAAGUAUACCAUUGGUUACUGCUGCAAUUGUGCCUUCGCCUACAUUAUUAUGGAGAUUCAAGGUUUGUUUUCAAUGAUAUUUUUGGUGUGUUUAUUAUCCAUUUACUUCUUUUUAAUAAAUAUAAAGUGGUUAAAUUCAAAGAAAAACGAAUUCCUCAGAUGUAACUUGUAUCUUUCAGUUAUUUCUCAACCUUCUAGAAUCUUAAUCUAUUUAGAUAUCCAAGUACUAUUGUUCUUACUCUAGGGUUUCAUUUAUGGGAAGGUUAGUCUUAUUUUAUAUUUUAGUUGUUUCAAGUUAUACAGUUCGUAUUUGAUGUUAAUAAUGGUUAACAAAGGGCUACAAGAUUCAGUUAUGUUGCUUACGUUCUCAUUACGUAUGCCAAAAUAUUGCAGACUGGAUGGCAAUCUGUAAUGAGAAUGAGUGUAGACUUACGGGACCUAUUUCUAUAUGAGGCAUUUUUGUAUUAUAAUCCUCUUCUUCUAGUGGUUAGUUAAAAUUUUAUGAUAUGUAAAAAAAAAUUAUGUUAUACUAACUUUUUCAAUAUGAGUGCAAUUUUAUGUUGUGUGUUUAA